CCUACGGGGGGCAGCAGUGGGGAAUAUUGGACAAUGGGGGGAACCCUGAUCCAGCCAUGCCGCGUGUGUGAAGAAGGCCCUCGGGUUGUAAAGCACUUUCAGUGAGGAAGAACGCCUGGUGGUUAAUACCCAUCAGGAAAGACAUCACUCACAGAAGAAGCACCGGCUAACUCCGUGCCAGCAGCCGCGGUAAUACGGAGGGUGCGAGCGUUAAUCGGAAUUACUGGGCGUAAAGCGCGCGUAGGUGGCUUGAUAAGCCAGUUGUGAAAGCCCCGGGCUCAACCUGGGAACGGCAUCCGGAACUGUCAAGCUAGAGUGCAGGAGAGGAAGGUAGAAUUCCCGGUGUAGCGGUGAAAUGCGUAGAGAUCGGGAGGAAUACCAGUGGCGAAGGCGGCCUUCUGGACUGACACUGACACUGAGGUGCGAAAGCGUGGGUAGCAAACAGGAUUAGAUACCCGGGUAGUC
RNAcentral lists this ribosomal RNA (465 nucleotides) under Vreelandella stevensii. RNAcentral describes it as "partial 16S ribosomal RNA". It matches the Rfam family "Bacterial small subunit ribosomal RNA", at positions 338 to 795 of the family's 1533-position model. Lineage: Bacteria; Pseudomonadati; Pseudomonadota; Gammaproteobacteria; Oceanospirillales; Halomonadaceae. The record is from RNAcentral.